UACGGAGUGCUCCAAGCGUUAUCCGGAAUUAUUGGGCGUAAAGGGUGUGUAGGCGGUAAUGUUAGUCUUCUGUUAAAUUCUUCGGCUUAACCGGGGGCAAGCAGAGGAAACGGCAUAACUAGAGGGUGCGAGAGGUGAAUGGAACUCAUGGAGUAGGGGUGAAAUCCGUUGAUAUCAUGGGGAACACCAAAUGCGAAGGCAAUUCACUGGCGCAUUCCUGACGCUGAAAACACGAAAGCGUAGGUAGCGAAUGGG
Molecule: ribosomal RNA, 255 nt
Filed under: uncultured bacterium
Lineage: Bacteria
Description: partial 16S ribosomal RNA
Rfam family: Bacterial small subunit ribosomal RNA
Source: RNAcentral